Molecule: non-coding RNA, 109 nt
Filed under: Streptomyces sp. CB01249
Lineage: Bacteria; Bacillati; Actinomycetota; Actinomycetes; Kitasatosporales; Streptomycetaceae
Description: Streptomyces RNA 4115
Rfam family: Streptomyces RNA 4115
About the family: Identified by deep sequencing of transcriptome at the end of exponential growth phase. Sequencing size consistent with notrthern blot size.
Source: Rfam by way of RNAcentral
GCGUGGAUCGGCCCGCUGCGUCCGACGCAGGGGGCUGGGGGAUAUCGCCGCCUCAUUCCCCGCAGGCGGUGGACCGGUCCGGGGGGCGAGGCCCGCCUCCCGGACCGUG